GGGAUGAGCUGUGGAUAGGGGUGAAAGGCCAAUCAAACUUCGUGAUAGCUGGUUCUCUCCGAAAUGCAUUUAGGUGCAGCGUUGCGUGUUUCGUGCCGGAGGUAGAGCACUGGAUAGGCGAUGGGCCCCACCGGGUUACUGACGUCAACUAAACUCCGAAUGCCAGUCAAGGUUCAGCGUGGCAGUGAGACAGUGGGGGAUAAGCUUCAUAGUCGAGAGGGAAACAGCCCAGACCACCGGUUAAGGCCCCUAAGCGUGUGCUAAGUGGGAAAGGA
Molecule: ribosomal RNA, 275 nt
Filed under: Aurantiochytrium limacinum
Lineage: Eukaryota; Bigyra; Thraustochytrida; Thraustochytriidae
Description: partial Bacterial large subunit ribosomal RNA
Rfam family: Bacterial large subunit ribosomal RNA
Source: RNAcentral